CCCGCAACGAGCGCAACCCUUGCCAUUAGUUGCUAACAUUCAGUUGAGCACUUUAAUGGGACUGCCGGUGACAAACCGGAGGAAGGUGGGGAUGACGUCAAGUCCUCAUGGCCCUUAUGACCAGGGCUUCACACGUCAUACAAUGGUCGGUACAGAGGGUCGCCAACCCGCGAGGGGGAGCUAAUCUCAUAAAACCGAUCGUAGUCCGGAUUGCACUCUGCAACUCGAGUGCAUGAAGUCGGAAUCGCUAGUAAUC
RNAcentral lists this ribosomal RNA (256 nucleotides) under Deefgea sp. April_TSA1C4. Its description in RNAcentral is "partial 16S ribosomal RNA". It matches the Rfam family "Bacterial small subunit ribosomal RNA", at positions 1086 to 1343 of the family's 1533-position model. The record is from RNAcentral. Lineage: Bacteria; Pseudomonadati; Pseudomonadota; Betaproteobacteria; Neisseriales; Chitinibacteraceae.